UACGUAGGGUGCAAGCGUUGUCCGGAAUUAUUGGGCGUAAAGAGCUCGUAGGCGGUCUGUCGCGUCGGCUGUGAAAACUCGGGGCUCAACCCCGAGCCUGCAGUUGAUACGGGCAGACUAGAGUCCGGCAGGGGAGACUGGAAUUCCUGGUGUAGCGGUGAAAUGCGCAGAUAUCAGGAGGAACACCGGUGGCGAAGGCGGGUCUCUGGGCCGGAACUGACGCUGAGGAGCGAAAGCGUGGGGAGCGAACGGG
Molecule: ribosomal RNA, 253 nt
Filed under: uncultured bacterium
Lineage: Bacteria
Description: partial 16S ribosomal RNA
Rfam family: Bacterial small subunit ribosomal RNA
Source: RNAcentral